Molecule: transfer RNA, 84 nt
Filed under: bacterium
Lineage: Bacteria
Also listed under: 1 other name
Description: tRNA-Leu
Rfam family: tRNA
About the family: Transfer RNA (tRNA) molecules are approximately 80 nucleotides in length.
Source: RNAcentral
GCCCGGAUGGCGGAAUUGGCAGACGCGCUAGCUUCAGGAGCUAGUAUCGGUGACGAUGUGCAGGUUCAAGUCCUGUUCCGGGCA